GUAUGUUUUCGCAUACAUGGGAUAAAAUUGAAACGAUACAAAGAAGAUUAGCAUGACUCGCGCUGAAGGAUGAAUGAACAAACAAAUCUGGAAGACGACUCCUU
Molecule: small nuclear RNA, 104 nt
Filed under: Macleaya cordata
Lineage: Eukaryota; Viridiplantae; Streptophyta; Magnoliopsida; Ranunculales; Papaveraceae
Source: RNAcentral